RNAcentral lists this unclassified non-coding RNA (343 nucleotides) under soil metagenome. RNAcentral describes it as "partial contains 5.8S ribosomal RNA, internal transcribed spacer 2, and large subunit ribosomal RNA". The stretch from base 1 to 120 matches the Rfam family "5.8S ribosomal RNA", at positions 35 to 154 of the family's 154-position model. The record is from RNAcentral.
GAUGAAGAACGUAGCGAAAUGCGAUAAGUAAUGUGAAUUGCAGAAUUCAGUGAAUCAUCGAAUCUUUGAACGCACAUUGCGCCCGCCAGCAUUCUGGCGGGCAUGCCUGUUCGAGCGUCAUUUCAACCCUCGAGCCCCCCCGGGGGCCUCGGUGUUGGGGGACGGCACACCAGCCGCCCCCGAAAUGCAGUGGCGACCCCGCCGCAGCCUCCCCUGCGUAGUAGCACACACCUCGCACCGGAGCGCGGAGGCGGUCACGCCGUAAAACGCCCAACUUUCUUAGAGUUGACCUCGGAUCAAGUAGGAAUACCCGCUGAACUUAAGCAUAUCAAUAAGCGGAGGA